Long non-coding RNA from Engraulis encrasicolus (European anchovy), 303 nucleotides. RefSeq lists it as uncharacterized. Lineage: Eukaryota; Metazoa; Chordata; Actinopteri; Clupeiformes; Engraulidae. The record is from RefSeq and is a predicted model, not a curated record. The transcript is spliced from 4 exons.
CUGACCUGGCGCUGGUGGAUGGCUCGCAGGAGUGCCUCUACUUUGUGGGCAACUCGCUGGGGCUGCAGCCAAAGCUGGCCAGGAAGUACCUGGAGGAAGAGCUAGACAAAUGGGAACAGAUGGGUGUACAUGGCCACAUGGUGGGCUCCCGGCCUUGGGCCUGGGCCGAGAACAACAUUGAGAAACUCAUGGCCGACGUUGUAGGAGCUAAAGAAGAAGAGGUUGCCCUCAUGAACGGCUUGACGGUCAACCUUCACCUGUUACUGCUCUCUUUUUACAAACCCACUGCAGAACGGCACAGAA